RNAcentral lists this ribosomal RNA (481 nucleotides) under uncultured bacterium. RNAcentral describes it as "partial 16S ribosomal RNA". It matches the Rfam family "Bacterial small subunit ribosomal RNA", at positions 899 to 1397 of the family's 1533-position model. The record is from RNAcentral.
ACUCAAAUGAAUAGACGGGGACCCGCACAAGCAGCGGAGCGUGUGGUUUAAUUCGAUGCAACGCGAAGAACCUUACCUGGGCUUGACAUUCUUUUGCAACUUUGUGAAAGCAAAGCCUCCGCAAGGACAGAAGAACAGAUGUUGCAUGGCUGUCGUCAGCUCGUGUCGUGAGAUGUUGGGUUAAGUCCCGCAACGAGCGCAACCCUUGUCCUUAGUUGCAUAUCUAAGGAGACUGCCGGUACAAAACCGGAGGAAGGUGGGGAUGAUGUCAAGUCAGCAUGACUCUUACGUCCAGGGCUACACACACGCUACAAUGGGCCGUACAAAGAGAAGCCACCCAGCGAUGGAGAGCGGAGCUCGGAAAGCGGCCCUCAGUUCAGAUUGCACUCUGCAACCCGAGUGCAUGAAGGUGGAGUUGCUAGUAACCGCGUGUCAGCAUAGCGCGGUGAAUAUGUUCCCGGGUCUUGUACACACCGCCCGU